Molecule: long non-coding RNA, 1628 nt
Organism: Trachemys scripta elegans
Lineage: Eukaryota; Metazoa; Chordata; Testudines; Emydidae
Exons: 2
Source: RefSeq, a predicted model, not a curated record
CCCGUUCCUGGGCUGGGUUGUCAAUGGGACGCUCGCUCCCGCCUUCCCCUCUCCCCCUUCUGUCCCCUGUCCUGGCUCACUCCCCCGCCUCUGGAGUCCUUCUCCCCGCCCCCCUCCACACCGGCUCGCAGUCUGUGAAUGAAACCCUCCCGCAGCAGCUUUCUUCAACCGAACCCCCCGCGCCGAGCCGCUCCGGCCUCAGACGUGCAGCCCCGGGCACCGCGAGAAGGGUUUGUUCAUGUUAAUCACCCCGACCCCUCCCCGGCAAGGGACUGACAACGCAGACGGCACUUGGCAAAAAGACUUGGGGAGGGCGGGAGCCCGAGCCAGCAGCAGCUCGAGCUGCUCCCCCGGGGCUCCCCGGGCGCAGGAGGGGCGCUGUGAAAGGCAGGGGUGGAGCGGAGGCUGAUAAGCCCCACGCAGCGGAGAACGAACUCCAAGGGGCAGGGAGCACAGUGACCUUGGGUAUUAACCAGGACACCGAGUGUCUUUACUAUUAUUGUGUUGUUAAAAGGAUAAUAAGGAUUGAAGCGAUCACGGAGUGCAGCCGUGCUGCCUGCUACUGUAGCAGCCUUCGAGCAGAGGUUCAGAACGGUAAACUAGCGAGCCUGGGAAGAGACUGUAACAUAAGGAGAGAGGACUUCCCAUUUAAUACAUCUUUGUAAAAUGCUGUCAAAUAGCAUCUUAUUUCAAACCUUGUCUUUGUCAAUUACUUUUAAAAAGCUAUGAUUUCAUGUGCCUUGCUUUUGCCAGUUUUCCUCUCGUUGGUUAUAUAAGUCCCAUUAUUGAUAUGGAGUUUGAUACAGACAUGAUGGGACUGUCACAGCUGUUGUGAUUUUGAGUCAGUCUGAUCCAAAACUAUUUUACAAACAUUACACAUAUAUAAGGAAUCACUUCACCUAGCACUGGAAAGCAACCACUGCUAAAGCAAAAGCAUGGUAAAUGUUUAACAGCGCUCAGCAACACUACACAAUAGUUUUAGAUGCUGUUUCUAAUUGAAGAUACAGGAGGGAUUCAGGUAGCUAGAACGUAAUUAGCAGGACUGGAAUUUGACUAGGACACGAGAGAGAAUUCCCCAUAGCAGAGAAUUCUAGCAUUGAGAGCAUCAGCAAUGUUUGCAACACACCCCAUUGCCUCACACACAAAAUAUUUGCCACAGCAUAUAAACAGAACUAGGCAGCACUAGACACUUUGGUGCCCGAGGCCAAUGUCAGCCAGCUGUGUGGGAAUGCUUAAAGGAGCACCUGGACAGGAGCUACUCCUAAAAAUUAGGUGCCUUAAAGACUGCCUAUGUAAACUAAACAACUAAUGUCAGCCCCACCAGCAUCUCUCCAAUUGCACUUGCUGUGAGUGAACUUAUUUAGGAAACAUUAAACCCCAUAAUUCAAUCACCAGUGCAGCUCCACCCAUGGAAGUUAUAGUUUAGACAAGACUCAGGCACUUUUUAUCAUAUGUCAUCUUACUCUACACUAAGUAGUUUUAGGCAACAGAGUGGUGAAAAUGCCUAAAUUACUUUUGAAAUACAGUCACCACUACUGCUUCCACCAUUGGGGCUAAUUGGUGGGGAAUAAGUCUGAAUUUUUCUGCUUUGAAUAUAGCCAACAAAUAAAGUACAUGCUUAUAAACUA